Hypoxylon sp. FL1857 is the source of this 89-nucleotide non-coding RNA. The record is from the annotation of a GenBank genome assembly. NCBI's taxonomy places the organism in Eukaryota, Fungi, Ascomycota, Sordariomycetes, Xylariales, Hypoxylaceae.
GGGCCUGUAGUCCAGUGGUAGAAUGUCCGCUUAGCAUGGUCAAGCAUGCAAACUGCGGGAGGUCCAGGGUUCGAUUCCCUGCAGGUCCA